UUAAGCGACUAAGCGUACACGGUGGAUGCCCUGGCAGUCAGAGGCGAUGAAGGACGUGCUAAUCUGCGAAAAGCGUCGGUAAGGUGAUAUGAACCGUUAUAACCGGCGAUGUCCGAAUGGGGAAACCCAGUGCAAUUCGUUGCACUAUCGUUAACUGAAUACAUAGGUUAACGAGGCGAACCGGGGGAACUGAAACAUCUAAGUACCCCGAGGAAAAGAAAUCAACCGAGAUUCCCCCAGUAGCGGCGAGCGAACGGGGAGCAGCCCAGAGUCUGAAUCAGCUUGUGUGUUAGUGGAACGGUCUGGAAAGUCCGACGGUACAGGGUGAUAGUCCCGUACACCAAAAUGCACAGGUUGUGAACUCGAAGAGUAGGGCGGGACACGUGGUAUCCUGUCUGAAUAUGGGGGGACCAUCCUCCAAGGCUAAAUACUCCUGACUGACCGAUAGUGAACCAGUACCGUGAGGGAAAGGCGAAAAGAACCCCGGCGAGGGGAGUGAAAAAGAACCUGAAACCGUGUACGUACAAGCAGUGGGAGCACCUUCGGGUGUGACUGCGUACCUUUUGUAUAAUGGGUCAGCGACUUAUAUUCUGUAGCAAGGUUAACCGUAUAGGGGAGCCGCAGGGAAACCGAGUCUUAACUGGGCGUUAAGUUGCAGGGUAUAGACCCGAAACCCGGUGAUCUAGCCAUGGGCAGGUUGAAGGUUGGGUAACACUAACUGGAGGACCGAACCGACUAAUGUUGAAAAAUUAGCGGAUGACUUGUGGCUGGGGGUGAAAGGCCAAUCAAACCGGGAGAUAGCUGGUUCUCCCCGAAAGCUAUUUAGGUAGCGCCUCGUGAACUCAUCUUCGGGGGUAGAGCACUGUUUCGGCUAGGGGGUCAUCCCGACUUACCAACCCGAUGCAAACUACGAAUACCGAAGAAUGUUAUCACGGGAGACACACGGCGGGUGCUAACGUCCGUCGUGAAGAGGGAAACAACCCAGACCGCCAGCUAAGGUCCCAAAGUCAUGGUUAAGUGGGAAACGAUGUGGGAAGGCACAGACAGCCAGGAUGUUGGCUUAGAAGCAGCCAUCAUUUAAAGAAAGCGUAAUAGCUCACUGGUCGAGUCGGCCUGCGCGGAAGAUGUAACGGGGCUAAACCAUGCACCGAAGCUGCGGCAGCGACACUAUGUGUUGUUGGGUAGGGGAGCGUUCUGUAAGCCUGCGAAGGUGUGCUGUGAGGCAUGCUGGAGGUAUCAGAAGUGCGAAUGCUGACAUAAGUAACGAUAAAGCGGGUGAAAAGCCCGCUCGCCGGAAGACCAAGGGUUCCUGUCCAACGUUAAUCGGGGCAGGGUGAGUCGACCCCUAAGGCGAGGCCGAAAGGCGUAGUCGAUGGGAAACAGGUUAAUAUUCCUGUACUUGGUGUUACUGCGAAGGGGGGACGGAGAAGGCUAUGUUAGCCGGGCGACGGUUGUCCCGGUUUAAGCAUGUAGGCUGGUUGUCCAGGCAAAUCCGGAUAAUCAAGGCUGAGGUGUGAUGACGAGGCACUACGGUGCUGAAGUAACAAAUGCCCUGCUUCCAGGAAAAGCCUCUAAGCAUCAGGUAACAUCAAAUCGUACCCCAAACCGACACAGGUGGUCAGGUAGAGAAUACCAAGGCGCUUGAGAGAACUCGGGUGAAGGAACUAGGCAAAAUGGUGCCGUAACUUCGGGAGAAGGCACGCUGGUGUGUAGGUGAAGUCCCUGCGGAUGGAGCUGAGACCAGUCGAAGAUACCAGCUGGCUGCAACUGUUUAUUAAAAACACAGCACUGUGCAAACACGAAAGUGGACGUAUACGGUGUGACGCCUGCCCGGUGCCGGAAGGUUAAUUGAUGGGGUUAUCCGUAAGGAGAAGCUCUUGAUCGAAGCCCCGGUAAACGGCGGCCGUAACUAUAACGGUCCUAAGGUAGCGAAAUUCCUUGUCGGGUAAGUUCCGACCUGCACGAAUGGCGUAAUGAUGGCCAGGCUGUCUCCACCCGAGACUCAGUGAAAUUGAACUCGCUGUGAAGAUGCAGUGUACCCGCGGCAAGACGGAAAGACCCCGUGAACCUUUACUAUAGCUUGACACUGAACAUUGAGCCUUGAUGUGUAGGAUAGGUGGGAGGCUUUGAAGCGUGGACGCCAGUCUGCGUGGAGCCAACCUUGAAAUACCACCCUUUAAUGUUUGAUGUUCUAACGUUGGCCCCUGACCGGGGUUGCGGACAGUGUCUGGUGGGUAGUUUGACUGGGGCGGUCUCCUCCCAAAGCGUAACGGAGGAGCACGAAGGUUAGCUAAUCCUGGUCGGACAUCAGGAGGUUAGUGCAAUGGCAUAAGCUAGCUUGACUGCGAGCGUGACGGCGCGAGCAGGUGCGAAAGCAGGUCAUAGUGAUCCGGUGGUUCUGAAUGGAAGGGCCAUCGCUCAACGGAUAAAAGGUACUCCGGGGAUAACAGGCUGAUACCGCCCAAGAGUUCAUAUCGACGGCGGUGUUUGGCACCUCGAUGUCGGCUCAUCACAUCCUGGGGCUGAAGUAGGUCCCAAGGGUAUGGCUGUUCGCCAUUUAAAGUGGUACGCGAGCUGGGUUUAGAACGUCGUGAGACAGUUCGGUCCCUAUCUGCCGUGGGCGCUGGAGAAUUGAGGGGGGCUGCUCCUAGUACGAGAGGACCGGAGUGGACGCAUCACUGGUGUUCGGGUUGUCAUGCCAAUGGCACUGCCCGGUAGCUAAAUGCGGAAGAGAUAAGUGCUGAAAGCAUCUAAGCACGAAACUUGCCCCGAGAUGAGUUCUCCCUGAGACUUUAAGUCUCCUGAAGGAACGUUAAAGACGAUGACGUUGAUAGGCCGGGUGUGUAAGCGCAGCGAUGCGUUGAGCUAACCGGUACUAAUGAACCGUGAGGCUUAACCUU
Molecule: ribosomal RNA, 2900 nt
Filed under: Klebsiella pneumoniae
Lineage: Bacteria; Pseudomonadati; Pseudomonadota; Gammaproteobacteria; Enterobacterales; Enterobacteriaceae
Description: bacterial LSU rRNA
Rfam family: Bacterial large subunit ribosomal RNA
Source: RNAcentral